UUGAACGCUGGCGGCAGGCCUAACACAUGCAAGUCGAACGCGAAAGUCCUUCGGGAUGAGUAGAGUGGCGGACGGGUGAGUAACGCGUAGGAAUUUGUCCAGUAGUGGGGGAUAACGUUCCGAAAGGAACGCUAAUACCGCAUACGCCCCAUGGGGGAAAGAGGGGGAUUCUUCGGAACCUCUUGCUAUUGGAGAAGCCUGCGUCGGAUUAGCUAGUUGGUAGGGUAAAGGCCUACCAAGGCGACGAUCCGUAGCUGGUCUGAGAGGAUGAUCAGCCACACCGGAACUGAGACACGGUCCGGACUCCUACGGGAGGCAGCAGUGGGGAAUAUUGCGCAAUGGGCGAAAGCCUGACGCAGCCAUGCCGCGUGUGUGAAGAAGGCCUUCGGGUUGUAAAGCACUUUCAGUGGGGAGGAAAGGGCGCUGGCUAAUAUCCAGCGCAGUUGACGCUACCCACAGAAGAAGCACCGGCUAAUUCCGU
This 481-nucleotide ribosomal RNA is filed under the name uncultured bacterium. RNAcentral's name for it is "bacterial SSU rRNA". It matches the Rfam family "Bacterial small subunit ribosomal RNA", at positions 30 to 506 of the family's 1533-position model. The record is from RNAcentral.